This 8061-nucleotide long non-coding RNA is filed under the name Salvia miltiorrhiza (redroot sage). Its description in RNAcentral is "long non-coding RNA (SMIL_LNC009269)". Lineage: Eukaryota; Viridiplantae; Streptophyta; Magnoliopsida; Lamiales; Lamiaceae. The record is from RNAcentral.
CUAGCUAAAGCCCAAAGCCAGAGAAAAAUCGAGGCAGAGAACCUUCCAUCCCACACUAUAAAACAGCACCUUCACUCUCCAAUUUUCUCAUCACACUUAGCAAACUCAUUCAUAUCAAAUCUUCAUUUCUCUUCCAUUUCUCCAAAUUCCAAGAGGUAAUCAUGGGUGUGAUCACUUACGAUGUAGAGACCCCUUCCUCCAUCCCGGCCGGGAAGCUCUUCAAGGCCCUGGUGAUCGACUCCGACACCCUCAUCCCCAAGAUCCUGCCUCAGGCCAUCAAGAACGUCGAGAUCUUGGAAGGAGACGGCGGCGCCGGCACCGUCAAGAUCAUUCAUUUUGGCGAAGGGAGUCAGUAUAAGAGCGUCAAGCACCGUGUGGAGGCCAUCGACAAGGAGAACUUCACCUACACCUACACCAUCAAUGAAGGUGAUGUUCUCGCAGAUGUCAUUGAAUCCAUCACUUACCAUAUCAAGGUCGUCCCAACCGAAGAUGGAGGAAGCAUCUGCAAGAACAGGAGCAUUUACAACACCAAGGGUGAUGCUGUGAUUGAUGAGGAGAAGAUCAAGGAGGGGAAAGACAAGGCCCAACAUAUGUUCAAGGCCAAUGAGGCUUACAUCACCGCCAACCCCGACUACUGAAAGAGACGAGGCUUCAUAUAUCAAUGAUGUCAUUUUAUAUAUAUACGUGGUUUCUGAUAUGAGAUAAUUGGUGUGCGAGAGACUAUGUAUAGGCUUAAUUGCCUAGAGUGAUAUCGAUUUACUUUGUGUGAUUUUUGAAUUUGUGUUGAGUGAAUAUUAUUGUAUUGAAUUUGUGUUGCACUAAAUAAAGAAGCAUAGUUUUUUUUUUUUUUUUUUGAAUUAAUAAAGAAGCAUAGUUAAUUGCAAGUUUGGUGGUCGUGGGAUUAAUAUUUUUAUUGUUCUCUUGUGGUUGUUUUGUUUCUUUAUUUAGGGGUAACUAAUAUAUCCAUAUAUUUCAGAUUAGCAUAUGAACAUAAAUUUCACCUCAAAAUACAAGAACUUUCAUUUUUUAUUUUUUAUUUUUUUCUUUCUAACUUUGCACCUGAUAAAUAAUUUAACGUUGAAAACUGAGGAAGAUGUUGGAAUUAAUCUAUGUAUGCAUAGAGUUUUGAUAUAUAUUUUUAAUGAAUGAAUACUGAGGUAGAAGUCAGAAUUAUCUUUACAUGCAACGAAUUUUUUUUAUAAACAACAUAGUUAGACUAGUAAUGAAAUAUUGUCGUUUCAUCAUAAAAUAAGUCCUAUAUUUUUAGAUGAUCAUUUAAAGCAUUUUUUUUUUUGCAAUUUAAGACUAAGAGCAGUGGCGGAUCCAGGGGGGGCUAGGGGGGGCUUCAGCCCCCUCCCAAUUUUUGAGUUUUUUUUUUUAAAUUAUAGAUAUAUAUUUAUUAUUUUGUUUUAUAUCUAUAUAUAUGUGUAUAUAAAUAAAAAAAUACAAGAAAAAAUAUAGUAAUACAUUAUUUAUAGUAUCCAACUAUCCAUAUUAAUUGCUCAACACAUUGAGUUGUUACAUUUAUAGUAUUAUUUUUAUCAUUUUUUCUUUCUUAGUUAAUUUUUAAUGUUAAAUUUGAGUCAAUUCUAAAGGUAAAAGUAAAAUUACUAAUUACUAACAAUGAAAAUUAGUUUAUUUGUUUAGAAGAUGAAACAAUUUUUUUUUAAGAAAAAUGAAUAAAAGUACGUUUUUAUAUGCUUUCAAUCUACUUGAUGUUGAAUUAAUUGAAUUGCGAACAAUUAUCUUAUUAUAUUAAGUGAUUGUUGAAAAAAUGUAUGAAAUGAAGUGUACGGAAUGCUCAAAAAAAUUUGCUUCGGGGGCUCCCGCCCCCGAACCCCCGUGUAAAUAUUUUCAAGCACCGUAGUCCAAUAGAUUCAGCCCCCCCUAACAUUGAAUCCUGGAUCCGCCCCUGACUAAGAGGGUUGUGAGUUCACGAUCAAGGCCGUACUUCAUUAUUCGUGAUUCAUGAUUUUGAAUUCGUUGUUCGGGUCCAAUAUUUAGGUUCACAUAAUUAGGUCUUCGAGUUGUGUGUUUGUAAUUGAAUCCGUUGAAAAUAUUUUUAAUUUGUGUGCAAGAUUAGGGGGAAAAAAAUGAAAUUUUAUAUAUUUGGAAAUAUGAUUUAUAGCUCAUGUGCAAAAUAAAAAAAUAUAUAAAUUUUUUUAAGAUGCUAUUACCACUUUUAUUUAUUUUCGAGUUGAGUUCAAAAUCAUAAUUAAGGAAGACUGAUAAAAUCUAGAGGUCAAUCGUUUAGGUUGCUCACUGACAAUGAAAUGUGCAAAAUUAAUAUAAAAAUAGGCCAGUGAACCAUGUGGAUUGAAUCGGAGUCUUUUUUAGGUUCAUUUAUAUAGUUGGACAUAAAAGGGGAUAGAGGUUUAAUUCACUCAGUAUAAAAGUUGACGGUGAAUUUUAGACCAAUUAAUGAGAAACAAAUUUUUUAGAAAAUCAAGAAUUUAUGAAUAACUUUUAAUAAAAUAUCAUAUAUAUUUAUUUUCUUUAUCCAGUACUUGAUUUUUAUCCUGUGAUUAUUUAUUAGAUUGCUGAUCCAGUGACUUGAUUUUUAUUGUAUUGGAAAUUGAAUUAUAUAUUCUAGGGUAAAUUUAAUCUAAAACUAUAAUAAAUUUUUGUAAUAUUUUAUUUUUUUUCCAUAAUCUUUUAUUCUUGUUUCAUAAUCUAUUUGAAAUCUCUUGAUUUGAGUUUAGUCUGUAUCUCUGGGCCAAAACGUCAAAUUUGUAUAUGGCCCAAAGGCUUUUAAUGGGCUACAUAGUCAAAUGGGCCGAAUUUUUAGGUCGAGAGUCCAUUGGGUCAAAAUUGCAACUACAGAACGGAAUAUUCUAUUUAAGGAGAUUGGAGUACUUGGACGACGCUGGGGUCAAAAAUUAUUAAUGCGAAUUUUUUUCUAAAUAUUAGACUUUUAAUAAUACAGAGACGACUCUUUACAGAAAUGAAUAUUUUUUAAACAAAAUACUACUUAUAAUAUAUAGUUUAUCCUCGUAUCUUAAGUGACUUUAUUUGUAGGUAUUAUUGUUCGUUUUUUAGUUAAAUGCUUAUUAUGAUGUUUGUAAUUGCAAAAAAUUAAAAGGCAUUCGUAUGAAAAUUGUAUAUUCAGAAAAGAUGGGUUAUUAUUGUGUGAUCACAAUUCACAAGCUUGAGCAGACUUAUUCAAGGAGAUUUGCUGCUCAAAUUUGUGUUCACAUUUAUUGCCAAAUACAAUCAAGAGAAAGUGUAGACUAGUCUACCAUGGAGUGCUACGUACAACCAAUUUUGGUCUUAAAAUAAAUGCAAGUGUGAAUUUUUCUUCUUAUUCUGUUUCUAUAUAUAUAAUUGAAAUAGCUCUCAAUUGACCCUACAAGAAUGCUUCAACUUGUGAUGUCAAAGCAAUUAUAGUAAAGACUGUGAAGUAAUAUAAAAAUACGAUUAACUUACAUCAUUCGGGAAAUUUUCUAUGCAUUUUCUUGACAUGUUUCACAUGCAUGCCACAAGGUGAAGCAAAAAACAUAUGACUUCUUAUUCAUUUUAAUUUAAUACUAAGUUAAAGUUAACUUAAAUCAAUAUCAUGAUUUGGCAUUGACGAACUCAUGCAGCUUAUAAAAUAUCAAGCAUAAUGAUUAGAUAAAAAUCGUCAUACUCGAGUGGUAAAAAAGAAAGAUACAGAUCCUUUUGGGACGGCUAAUGGUAAAGUGAAUAUAAACGUGGUUUAAGUCUGUUAUAUAGACCUAUUUUUUUAAAAUGAGAUUUGCAGAUUUCACAGAAACAUAGAUUUAUCAAAUAAUACGACUUGUCACACAUAGUUUUUGAUGUAUGAUUUGUCUGUAUCGAAUCUUAAUAUCAUAAUGAAUAGUUUUUUUUUUCACAUUUUUUCACUAUUUUCAAUACUAAUUACAAUACAUUUUCACCACUUUCAAUACUAAUUACUCCCUCCGUCCCGGUCAAAGUGGUGCACUUCUUUUGGGCACGGGAUUUAAAGAGAAUAAGAUUGUAGUGUAAAAGUGUGUAAAUGUGUGUGGGGCCAUAUUUUUUGUAGUGUAAAAUUAUUACCAAAAAAGGAAAUGCACCACUUUCGGUGGGACAGCCCAAAAAAGAAUACGCACUACUUUCGGUGGGAUGGAGGAAGUAUAAUAUUUUUCACUAUUUACAAUAUACUCAACAAUUUUGUAUUAAAAUUCGUACCCCUUAGGAAGUUAUUUGGGGGUCGGUAGAGGAUAAUGCCAUGUUCUAUGACACCCCAAAAUAUCAUCGAUUAUUAAAUCAAUCCAUAAAUGCACCAUGAAUAAUUAUGUCUACAUUCAACGAGAUGGGGCUAGCUAAAGCCCAAAGCCAGAGAAAAAUCGAGGCAGAGAACCUUCCAUCCCACACUAUAAAAUAGCACCUUCACACUCUCCAAUUUUCCCAUCACACUUAGCUAAUCUCAUUCAUAUCAAAUCUUCACUUCUCUUCCAUUUCUUCAAAUUAAAAAAAAAAGGGAAUCAUGGGUGCGAUCACUUAUGAUGUAGAGACCCCUUCCUCCAUCCCGGCCGGGAAGCUCUUCAAGGCCCUGGUGAUCGACUCCGACACCCUCCUCCCCAAGAUCCUGCCUCAGGCCAUCAAGAACGUCGAGAUCUUGGAAGGAGACGGCGGCGCCGGCACCGUCAAGAUCAUUCAUUUUGGCGAAGGGAGUCAGUAUAAGAGCGUCAAGCAUCGUGUCGAGGCCAUCGACAAGGACAACUUCACCUACACGUACAGCAUCCUUGAAGGUGAUGUUCUCUCAGAUGCCAUUGAAUCCAUCACUUACCAUAUCAAGGUCGUCCCAACCGAAGAUGGAGGAAGCAUCUGCAAGAACAGGAGCAUUUACAACACCAAGGGUGAUGCUGUGAUUGAUGAGGAGAAGAUCAAGGAGGGGAAAGACAAGGCCCAACAUAUGUUCAAGGCCAUUGAAGCUUACAUCACCGCCAACCCCGACUACUGAACGAGACGAGGCUUCGUAUAUCAAUGAUGUCAUUCUAUAUACGUGGUAUCUCUGAUGCGAGAGGAUCGGUGUGCGAGAGACUAUCUAUAGGCUUAAUUGCCUAGAGUGAUAUUGAUUUACUUUGUGUGGUUUUUGUAUUUGUGUUGAGUGAAUAUUACUGUAUUGAAUUUGUGUUGCACUAAAUAAAGAAGCAUAAUUAAUGUUGCAAGUUUGGUGGUAGUGGGAACAUUUUUAUUUUUCUCGUGGUUGUCUUGUUAUUUUAUUUAAGUGUAAUUAAUAACCGUAUAUUUCGGAUUACGCAUAUGAGUAUAAAUUAAAUUUCGUCUCAAAAUACAAUAACUUUUUUUUUUCUCUAGCUUUGCACCUGAUCAUAAAUAUUUUUGACGAAUAAAUAUUGAUAUAGAAGCCAAAGUUAUCUUUAUGUGCAACGAAAAUCUUCAUAAGCAAUAUAAUUUGAUUAGUAAUAAAAUAUUGUCGUUUCAUCAUAAAAUAAGUCUCAUAUUUUUAGAUGAUCAUUUAAGGCAUUAUUUUUCACAAUUUAAAAUUAAAGGGCUGCGAGUUCACGAUUGAUUCAUGAUUUUGGUUCAUAUAUUUAGGGCUUCGAGUCGUGGAUUCGUGAUUGAGUUGUGAAUGUUUGAAAAUAUCUUUAAUAUGCUUUGGAAAAAAAAAUUAUAUAUUUGGAGACAUGACUUAUGGCUCAUGUGCGAAAUAGAUAAAUGUUAUAAAAUUUUGUAUUUUAGAUACUAUAACCACUUUUAUUUAUUUUCGAGUUUGAGUUCAAAAUAUUACUCCCUCCGUCCCAAUAAAAGUGGCCACAUUUCCUUUUUGGGUGUCCCAUUAAAAGUGGCUACUUUCUAAAAAUGGCAAAAGUUUACUUUAAUUAAGUCAACAAUUACUCACUAAUUUGGUCAACAAUUGUAGGCCAUUUUCUAAAAAUGUCAAAAUUACUUACUAAUUUGGUCAACAAUUGUAGGCCACUUUCUAAAAAUUACUCACUAAUUUUGGUGGGUCACACUCAAUUAAAACAUAACAAUUCCCUUCUUAAUCUCCGUACCUAAAAAAAAGUGGUCAUUUUUAUUGGGACGGAGGGAGUAAUAAUUAAGGAAGACUAAUGAAUCUAGAGGUCAAUAUAUCGUUUAGGUUGCUCACUGACAAUGAAAUGAGUAAAAUUAAUAUAAAAAUAGGCACCAUGUGGAUUAAAUCGGAGUCUUUUUCAGGUUUAUUUAUUUNUUAGGUUAUUUAGUUUAGUUGGACAUAAAAGGGGUUGGGAGGUUUAAUUCACUCAUUAUAAAAAUUGACGGUGAAUUUUGGACCAAUUAAAGAGAAACAAUCUUUAGUUAUAUCAACUCUUAUUAUAUUUACGGAGACUAUUUAUAGAAAAUUCAAGAAUUUAUGAAUAACUUUUAAUAAAUUAAAUAUCCUUUAUACAUUUAUUUUCUUUAUCCAGUGACUAUUUAUUGGAUUGCUUAUCCAGUGACUUGAUUUUUAUUGUAUUGGAUAUUGAAUUAUUAUAGGGGUAAUUUUGACAUCUCGCCGGGGAUUUUUUAGACAAAACUUUAAAAUAAAAAAGUGCAAAUAAAAGUUACUAAUGCGAAAAAUAUUCUAAAUAUUAGACUUUUAAUAAUAUAGAGACUCUUUAACUCUUUACAGAAAUUAAUAUUUUUUAAACAAAAGAUACUAAUAAUAGAUUGUUUAUCCCCGUAUCUUAUAAAGUGACUAGAUUUGUACGUAGGUAUUAUUGUUCGUUUUUGAGUCAAAUGCUUAUUAUGCUGGUUUUAAAAGGCAGUACUGUAAUUACCAUGCAUAUUUUAAUAUUCGUAAGAAAAUUGUUAAGAAAGAUGGGUUAUUGUGUGAUCACAAGCUUGAGCAGACUUAUUCAAGGAUAUUUGCUGCUCAAAAUUUGUGUUCGCAUUGUCUUGCCAAAUACAUACAAGAGAAAGUGUAGACUAGUCUACCAUGGAGUGCUACAACCAAUAUUUGGUCUCAAAAUAAAUGCAAGUGUGAAUUUUUCUUCUUAUUCAGUUUCGAUAAUUGAAAUACCUCUCAAUUGACCCUACAAGAAUGCUUCAACUUGUGAUGUCAAAUCAAUUAUAGGUAAUAAAGACCGUGAAGUAAUAUCAAUAUAUGAUUAACUUACAUAGUUACAUAAAUCUAACAGAAAAAAAAACAAGAAGAAAAGUCCACAACGAGGCACUAACUAAUUUUGUAAAUGAUACUCUCUUCGUCCUCUAAAUAACUUCAUAUCUGUCCCCAAGGGGACACCAAGCGGUGCGAAUAGUGAAUAAAAAAUAAAAUAAAAAAUAAUUAUGUGAAUAGUGAGGUCUCGGGUUCAAACUCCACUGCCCCCCUCCCCAACACCCCCAUGUAAAAAAAUAAAAAAUAAUAAUAACUUCAUAUCUUUUUUUUAGGUUGUCUCCCAAAUAAUUUACUAGUACUUUAUUUUAGGACACUAUCCCAACUUUUCAUAAUACUUCAUUUAUUCUUUUUUUUUUCACCACUCUCAAUACUAAUUACAACACCUUUUCAUCUUUUAUUAUUAUUAUUAUUAUUAUUAUUAUUAUUAUUAUUAUUAUUAUUAUUAUUAUUAUUAUUAUUAUUAUUAUUAUGCACUCAAUAAUUUUAUCUUAAAAUCAAUGGGCCCCCUCAAAAGAUUAUUUGGAGGAUGGAGGGAGCAUAAUGCCAUGUUAUAUGACACCACAAAUAUCAUCAAUUAUUAAAUUCAAACCAUAAUUAAUGCAUCACGAAUAAUUGAGUUGCCAUUCAACGAAAUGGGGCUAAAGCCCAAAGCCAAAGAAAAGUCGAGGUAGAGAACCUUCCAUCCCACACUAUAAAAUAGCACCUCACACUCUCCAAUUUUCCCAUCACACUUAGCUAAUCUCAUUCAUAUAUAUCAAUCACUAAUCAAUCUUCACUUCUCCUCCAUUACUCCAAUUUUUUAAAAAAGAGAAUCAUGGGUGCGAUCACUUAUGAUGUAGAGACCCCUUCCUCCAUCCCGGCCGGGAAGCUCUUCAAGGCCAUCGUGCUCGAGCCGACACCCUCAUCCCCAAGAUCUUGCCUCAGGCCAUCAAGAACGUCGAGAUCUUGGAAGGAGACGGCGGCGCGGCACCGUAAGAUCG